Molecule: long non-coding RNA, 2542 nt
Organism: Hylaeus volcanicus
Lineage: Eukaryota; Metazoa; Arthropoda; Insecta; Hymenoptera; Colletidae
Exons: 4
Source: RefSeq, a predicted model, not a curated record
CACCAACGGCGGUGAAAACGAUGACAAGAUAGAAAGUGGUCGCUUGCGUUCGCAGUGUACCGACCACGUCGUCGUAUAGUAUGCUUCGGCAAAUUUUACGAUCAUUCUCGAAGGUUUAGGACCGGAGAAUUAGACUGAAGAAUGCGACCCAGGGCUUGGUAUACCUUCAAGAUCCUGCGAGGACGUGCCACGGGACUCGCGGGAUAUUUAUGAGCACUCAAGAACACAUUAGAAGACCCAAUCCUUCGCGAAUGGAAGCUCUUCGGUUGCUUCAUACUGCUUGACCCUCAGUUUUUUGGGGGGAAAACCCACGAUGGUUCCAAUUCAUCGGAAAUUCUAAUUUUUCCACCAUUUUGUUUUCGUUGAAUACGAAUCGAGCGAGUAUAGCUGCAAGAAAAUGUAAAUUAUUCAGAAGAGCGCGGAAACGCAAAAAACAAGGACGAGGAGAUCUUGUAAAUUACAAUUCUCGGCUCAUCCGCGAUCCCUGCGAAGGACGAGUACAAAGGAGGUCGAAGAGAUGUAAUUUGCAGCGGACUCGUUCGAGUAAAAGCAUUAGAGAAGACCGAAACGGAACGAUACAGACGCCACAUUAUGCUCCCCGUCGCAUUAAGAGCUAUAUACGGUAAUGUGUACUUUGUCUCAUGCGAUGUUCGAAAAGAAAAACGUAAUUGCACGUUUCGCGCUACCGGAUCCGCGUUACUCCAAUUCUUUGCUGCUCGCGAAACGAAAUUAGGGUUAUUAACUAGAAAACGUUCGUGAGGGCGCGGAAAAUGUUUGACCUGGUUCGUUGUUCCACUUGCUCGUCGUUUUUUAUUUCUUUUUUUUACGAACGGUAAUUUUGUCGAAUUAGUAGGAAUUUGUGAUCGACUCUGAAAUGAGAGACCAAGCAAAUUAUACCCGUACUGUUACACCACUUAGAUUCACCUGACGCAAUCCUAUUAAUCAACCUUUAUUCUAUAAACGACCCGAACCAUUUACCAGAAAAAAUAUUUUUAAAAAAUUACAUUAAAAUAUGAAUCGUUACAGGAAGAUCGAUACUAGAAGGAAGAAGUCACCCGAUCUGAAAGGAAGCAAACAGUGCUGGAAGUGAAUGAAACGCCUAUGUCGUGGGAAAAUUAUUCGACAAACGUGGAACGAUUCAGGCACGUCGCGGUGCAGGGUGCAGAUGUAGCUACAGACGAAGCCCGUGGAGAGACCGUCGCGCUUUAGAAAUUAUUUUAUCGCUGGCGACACCAUAAACCGAGGAUUCUUGGACUGUCGUAAACCUCCUGUACCUUGGCUCGAACAUUUCAACGAGCAAUCGCCGCAGCCUGAUCUGCGAGCAUCUCUGGACCAUACAGAGUGUAACUGAAAACAACUGUAAUAGUCCUUAUAAUCGGUUGGGUUGGUUUGACAUUGACAACGCACGCCGCAGCGAAUACGAAAAUUGAUAGUUGAGACAGCAUUUACCGAGCCAGCAAUUUAUUCUAACAUCGGGUGGGCUAAUGUCCACUCCACGCGGAGGUGAGCUUAAGGAAACCGCGCGGAAGUUCGGAGACUAUCGAGAAACCUUUCCUCGAGGACGGCGUUCAGUCAAAAGUAGUACGCUACAUAGCAUCGACGUCGAAUCGGUCCAUUGUCGACUUAAGGAUACAGAAUUGUCCUUAUCCGGUACAAUUAUCCAGAAAUGAAAAAGACACACUCUGGGAGCUCCUGAAGGUGUCCAACGGACUGCCGUGAGACAUGCGAUGCUGCGGAAGGAAAUAAUUUUCAGCGAUAUCUUCAACGAAGUAAUUAUCUUCAUCUAGGAAUAACGAAUCGCUCUCAACGAUACAAAAGCAAUCGGGGCGAAACAGCCGUUCUUUCUAAGCGAUUUCGUGUCAUGAGGCACUGCUUAUAGCUUAAUUGACCGUCAACAUCGAACCCACGGUCGCAGCAAGCAACUACUGAAGGUUUUAACGAUCAAAGAGGCGCUUGCAGCAUCUAGAAUAUCUAUUUCGAUCGCAAAAUGAUAUCAACGGAUGGCCAUCUUAUUGCAACGAAUAUCUUGGGUUUCCUUUUGUUGCGAUCAAGAGAUAGCAAUCCUGCGAGAAUGUCAAGCAAGUAUUUGUUCAACUUAAAUACCAAGUGAAUGUAAACAACAGAUUGAUACGUGAUCGGAAUUCCACUGGCGAGCUGUGUCGACACAUUCGAGCUAGCAGUCUGUAGUAGGCGCGACGUACGCUGUGUCGAAACACGGAAAAAAAGCGGUGGUAGAAGGAUUAGGGCCUUCGUAAGCGGUUGUUUAUAUUAUUUAUGUACAAAAGUAGCAGUAAUUUGAUCGUCUCUGUAUCCCAGUCACGUGGCUUUGUUUACCCCCGCAACUUCGUCUUUGAGUUGAACGAACAAUAGAAAGUUCAUAGAGAUUUGACCUUAGGACGGCUACUCAAUCAAUGUUAACACUUUAAUGCUCGCUUGUUUUAGCCGACGCUCAAUCCUGAGAGUCCGCGCUCGACUACUAUAAAAUUCAGCUGGAAGCUGAUAGAUUUCAUCUUAUAAAUACUUUGCGUUUAAAUGCGACGUU